GGCGUAAAGGGCUCGCAGGCGGUUUCUUAAGUCUGAUGUGAAAGCCCCCGGCUCAACCGGGGAGGGUCAUUGGAAACUGGGGAACUUGAGUGCAGAAGAGGAGAGUGGAAUUCCACGUGUAGCGGUGAAAUGCGUAGAGAUGUGGAGGAACACCAGUGGCGAAGGCGACUCUCUGGUCUGUAACUGACGCUGAGGAGCGAAAGCGUGGGGAGCGAACAGGAUUAGAUACCCUGGUAGUCCACGCCGUAAACGAUGAGUGCUAAGUGUUAGGGGGUUUCCGCCCCUUAGUGCUGCAGCUAACGCAUUAAGCACUCCGCCUGGGGAGUACGGUCGCAAGACUGAAACUCAAAGGAAUUGACGGGGGCCCGCACAAGCGGUGGAGCAUGUGGUUUAAUUCGAAGCAACGCGAAGAACCUUACCAGGUCUUGACAUCCUCUGACAAUCCUAGAGAUAGGACGUCCCCUUCGGGGGCAGAGUGACAGGUGGUGCAUGGUUGUCGUCAGCUCGUGUCGUGAGAUGUUGGGUUAAGUCCCGCAACGAGCGCAACCCUUGAUCUUAGUUGCCAGCAUUCAGUUGGGCACUCUAAGGUGACUGCCGGUGACAAACCGGAGGAAGGUGGGGAUGACGUCAAAUCAUCAUGCCGCUUAUGACCUGGGCUACACACGUGCUACAAUGGACAGAACAAAGGGCAGCGAAACCG
This 700-nucleotide ribosomal RNA is filed under the name Bacillus subtilis. RNAcentral describes it as "bacterial SSU rRNA". It matches the Rfam family "Bacterial small subunit ribosomal RNA", at positions 557 to 1257 of the family's 1533-position model. Lineage: Bacteria; Bacillati; Bacillota; Bacilli; Caryophanales; Bacillaceae. The record is from RNAcentral.